This 66-nucleotide transfer RNA is filed under the name Corallianassa coutierei. RNAcentral's name for it is "tRNA-Ser". The record is from RNAcentral. Lineage: Eukaryota; Metazoa; Arthropoda; Malacostraca; Decapoda; Callianassidae.
GGCUGUUUAGUUUAUGAAAAACUGGUGUUUUGAAAGCACUAAAAAGAGAAUAAUCUCUAAUGGUCG